This is a long non-coding RNA of Salvia miltiorrhiza (redroot sage), 812 nucleotides long. RefSeq lists it as uncharacterized. The transcript is spliced from 2 exons. The record is from RefSeq and is a predicted model, not a curated record. Lineage: Eukaryota; Viridiplantae; Streptophyta; Magnoliopsida; Lamiales; Lamiaceae.
GAACCCGACAUGCAUGAGUUUUGUGUGAUUUUUGUCUCCCUAAUUAUUUCGUUACCUAUAAAUACCUUGUCUUGAAUGUGAGAGCCGCAUUCAAACAGAUACCCAAACCCUAGCAAAUACAGCAUUUCCAAUCUAUUACAGUAGUAGCAAACAAUAGAUCUGUUUCGUAGAAGCGGAUUUGCAGCUCCAUGGUCUCAAAAAAUGGGCUUUGGUUUUGCUACACAGGGCGUCUUCUUCGAGAGUGGUGAGACUGGAUCCGAGACUGUGUGAGUCUAAUGAAGUUCGAUUCCGACGGUGGUAGAGAGUAAGGCGGGACGUGAGUUCCUUUGUCGAUUAGAAGGAAGUUGAUUGUAACCCAAUGUCUAUGCUUACAGAUGAUCGACAAGGGUAUUUCACAUCUGGAUAAGCCGAACACUCAUAACACUCAUAAGUUUGUUAUAGGGGUGAGUCCCGGAAGAGGAUACGGAAGAGGACCCAGAGGAGGAUCCGGAAGAGGACCCACAUACCUGCCACAUCAACAGGCCCCGACUCAGGGAUCGUAAAUAGAACCUUACUUACCUAGUAGGUUGUUAUGUAAUUAUUCCAGAAACAUAUGUAAUACUGAUGCUUUGUACGCCUUAUGUUAGAUUUAUUUUUAGAUAUUUUGAAUUUUAGUUUUUAGAUAACACUCAUAAGAUUGUUGUCGAUAUAUUUGUUUUUAGAUCUUUCGAAUAAUAGUUUUUAGAUAACACUCAUAAGUUUAUUAUCUUCUGAGUUUGUAACUGUGUGAGUCUAAUGAAUGAAUGAUUACACGAGCCCAUGUUCAUGUUUAA